AGAAGUGGGGGGGUAGUUGGGUCGGUGAUGGGUGGGGUGGGUUCGGUAAUCGGAAAUACGUGGCAGAAAGGGGUCGCGGGGGGUUUGGUAAUGCCGGGGUGUAAGCCGUGUGCGUAGGCUGGGAGCUGCGGUUGGGUCGGCCAGGCUGGAGGACGGCAGAGGGGGGUGGAAUUCCACGUGUAGCAAUGAAAUGCGUGAAGAUGUGGAGGAACACCAAUGGCGAAGGCAGCCCCCUGGGUCGAUACUGACGCUCAUGCACGAAAGCGUGGGUAGCAAACAGGAUUAGAUACCCGAGUAGUC
Molecule: ribosomal RNA, 300 nt
Filed under: uncultured Sulfophobococcus sp.
Lineage: Archaea; Thermoproteati; Thermoproteota; Thermoprotei; Desulfurococcales; Desulfurococcaceae
Description: partial 16S ribosomal RNA
Rfam family: Bacterial small subunit ribosomal RNA (bases 52-300)
Source: RNAcentral